AGUCUGGGUCUGAGCUGAAACCUGCUGCAAGUCUGACGGUACCAAAUUACAUAUAUAUCUGUCAAAAUGAUGUAGGACCUAAAGUCUCUCUGUAAGUUGAUCCUUUUGACCCCAUGAUUAGGAGCUUCACAAUGUGGUACCACACCUGGAAACCUCCAGAACAAGAUCUCAAGGAAACACAGGAAAUUCCUGAAACAGCAAAACCCCCUAUGUGAAGACGUCUGUUAUUCCUUUGUGUAUCAGGAGCAUCACUGUUAAUUAACUGUUGAUACACUUAAAACAGCUUGGUUGGCAAUGUCCUUUUUGAAUAAAGAAGAGCCAGGUGUGUUUUUCAGGAUGAACUAGACAAUGCUGUCACAAGUUUACCUCUACAUCUUAUUGCCUUGGAAAAAUUUCCUGCAUAUCGUGGCACAAGAUGGUUGGCUCUCCAGGCAGCAGUUGGCGUUGUGAAUCAGUCAUCUCAGCAUGUGUCUCCAAGAUCCCACAGCAGGGGGAAAAAGAGGUGGAGGGUCACAUGCCUGGUGUUACAUACUUUGAGGCAGAGGUGGUAGGUGCCAUUUCUGCUCACAGCUCAUGGACCAGAACAAAGCCAUGCAUACCUGAGAGAGGACCAGAAAAUAUUCUGAAGCAGAUGGCUAUUUGGUCCGUGUUCUGACUAAAAGGAAGCCACACUCUGUCGAAAACAAGCUUUGUAAGAAAAUUUUGAAGUAUUUACUUAUAUCUAACCAUUCAUUCCACCUUUUCUCCCAAAUAACACUCUAAUAUCUUGAGACAUCUUGUCUAGGGCCAGAUUUCAUAAAUGCUUGUGAGGCAGGAGAAUAAGUUCCAGAGGCAGUUCACACUGCCUAAAGCCAAUUCACACUGACUUCCUAUAACUAAAUCUAAAGGAAAAUCUCAACUUUCCUCGCCCAAGUAACAAAAGAAUCAGAGGUUAUACUCCCUUUGCAACCUGCCCCUUUUCUGCCUGGCAGAUGAAAAAUGAAAAGUACCUAUGACUGGUCCCCUCCCACGACCAGCCAGACUGGUCACGGAUCACUACUUCAUUUACAUAGGGCGUAAACCGAGUAACCAAUGGGAAACCUCUAGAGGGUAUUUAAACCCCAGAAAAUUCUGUAACCGGUGGUCUCCAGCAGGUUGCUCAAUCUUGCUGCCACUCUGUGGGAUGUACUUUUGUUUCAAUAAAUCUGUGCUCU
Molecule: long non-coding RNA, 1193 nt
Filed under: Homo sapiens (human)
Lineage: Eukaryota; Metazoa; Chordata; Mammalia; Primates; Hominidae
Description: HSALNT0339332
Source: RNAcentral